UACGUAGGAGGCAAGCGUUGUCCGGAUUUACUGGGCGUAAAGCGCGCGCAGGCGGCAGUGCAAGUAAGGUGUGAAAUCUCCCUGCUCAACGGGGAGGGUGCAUUUUAGACUGCACAGCUAGAGGUCGGUAGAGGGGGGUGGAAUUGCUGGUGUAGCGGUGAAAUGCGUAGAGAUCCGGAGGAACACCAGAGGCGAAGGCGGCCUACUGGGUCAGUACUGACGCUGAGCCGCGAAAGCCAGGGGGGCGAACGGG
RNAcentral lists this ribosomal RNA (253 nucleotides) under uncultured bacterium. Its description in RNAcentral is "partial 16S ribosomal RNA". It matches the Rfam family "Bacterial small subunit ribosomal RNA", at positions 524 to 776 of the family's 1533-position model. The record is from RNAcentral.